Molecule: long non-coding RNA, 755 nt
Organism: Coffea eugenioides
Lineage: Eukaryota; Viridiplantae; Streptophyta; Magnoliopsida; Gentianales; Rubiaceae
Exons: 2
Source: RefSeq, a predicted model, not a curated record
CAUGGUGGGAGUUACUGAGUAAGAGGGAAAGGCAGAUAGAUCUGCAGGAAGUUUUGGGAAUGGGCUGCUAGGGAUGGAAGCGACUAAAAAGUGAAUCCCUUUCCUAGCCCGCCCAUUCCUAUGAUUUCCUGUGGUUCCUUUCUUUCCCUACCUUGCUUGUUUGAUUAAAUCCAAUUCAUCUGAUCCCCUGCUUUCUGCACUGGUGGAAAUUUAGCAGCUCAGAGUGGAAGAUAUUAAUUAAGCUGCCGGUUUUACUGAGGUUUUUUUUUUGAAAAAAAGCAGCUCUCUGAUCUUUUUGGUUUCCAUGCGUGCUUAUUCAUCGUUGAGAAAAAUUCUGAAAAAAAAAAAGGAAGUGAAAAAGAGAAAUACUCUGUCCUUGAGAAAGACGAACAGGAGACCUUAAGCAUAUGGGUUUAUCGGCGGAAAGACCUUUGGUGCUUGGAUCACAGGAUGAAAAACUACAACUUUGUGAAGGAACUUCAAUUUCUACAGGAACUAAUUGAAGUAGAUCUUACAAGUAUGAGUAGAUCUUGGCUUUAAAUUCUAUUUAGAUGCUUCUGCAACAAAAUUGAACGUACAUAAGCCAAAUCUAAAGCAGGUCAUAUAACCAAAUGCUAAACUUGGUUCAAAAUCACUCACUGAAGUGGCUUGGAAAUCCAUGAACAAUUAGCUAUACAAUUCCUCUGGAUGGUUUUUUUUUUUUGCCUUUAUUUUUUGGGGAUUAAAUACUUGGAAUGAAUCCUGAACUUCCACCA